This 1445-nucleotide ribosomal RNA is filed under the name uncultured organism. RNAcentral describes it as "SSU rRNA". It matches the Rfam family "Bacterial small subunit ribosomal RNA". The record is from RNAcentral.
UGAACGCUAGCUACAGGCUUAACACAUGCAAGUCGAGGGGCAUCAGGAAGAAAGCUUGCUUUCUUUGCUGGCGACCGGCGCACGGGUGAGUAACACGUAUCCAACCUGCCCUUUACUCGGGGAUAGCCUUUCGAAAGAAAGAUUAAUACCCGAUAGCAUAAUGAUUCCGCAUGGUUUCAUUAUUAAAGGAUUCCGGUAAAGGAUGGGGAUGCGUUCCAUUAGGUUGUUGGUGAGGUAACGGCCCACCAAGCCUUCGAUGGAUAGGGGUUCUGAGAGGAAGGUCCCCCACAUCGGAACUGAGACACGGUCCAAACUCCUACGGGAGGCAGCAGUGAGGAAUAUUGGUCAAUGGGCGCUAGCCUGAACCAGCCAAGUAGCGUGAAGGAUGAAGGCUCUAUGGGUCGUAAACUUCUUUUAUAUAAGAAUAAAGUGCAGUAUGUAUACUGUUUUGUAUGUAUUAUAUGAAUAAGGAUCGGCUAACUCCGUGCCAGCAGCCGCGGUAAUACGGAGGAUCCGAGCGUUAUCCGGAUUUAUUGGGUUUAAAGGGAGCGUAGGUGGACUGGUAAGUCAGUUGUGAAAGUUUGCGGCUCAACCGUAAAAUUGCAGUUGAUACUGUCAGUCUUGAGUACAGUAGAGGUGGGCGGAAUUCGUGGUGUAGCGGUGAAAUGCUUAGAUAUCACGAAGAACUCCGAUUGCGAAGGCAGCUCACUGGACUGCAACUGACACUGAUGCUCGAAAGUGUGGGUAUCAAACAGGAUUAGAUACCCUGGUAGUCCACACAGUAAACGAUGAAUACUCGCUGUUUGCGAUAUACAGUAAGCGGCCAAGCGAAAGCAUUAAGUAUUCCACCUGGGGAGUACGCCGGCAACGGUGAAACUCAAAGGAAUUGACGGGGGCCCGCACAAGCGGAGGAACAUGUGGUUUAAUUCGAUGAUACGCGAGGAACCUUACCCGGGCUUAAAUUGCAGUGGAAUGAUGUGGAAACAUGUCAGUGAGCAAUCACCGCUGUGAAGGUGCUGCAUGGUUGUCGUCAGCUCGUGCCGUGAGGUGUCGGCUUAAGUGCCAUAACGAGCGCAACCCUUAUCUUUAGUUACUAACAGGUUAUGCUGAGGGCUCUAGAGAGACUGCCGUCGUAAGAUGUGAGGAAGGUGGGGAUGACGUCAAAUCGGCACGGCCCUUACGUCCGGGGCUACACACGUGUUACAAUGGGGGGGUACAGAAGGCAGCUAGCGGGUGACCGUAUGCUAAUCCCAAAAUCCUCUCUCAGUUCGGAUCGAAGUCUGCAACCCGACUUCGUGAAGCUGGAUUCGCUAGUAAUCGCGCAUCAGCCACGGCGCGGUGAAUACGUUCCCGGGCCUUGUACACACCGCCCGUCAAGCCAUGGGAGCCGGGGGUACCUGAAGUACGUAACCGCAAGGAUCGUCCUAGGGUAAAACUGGUGACUG